This is a non-coding RNA of Hordeum vulgare subsp. vulgare (domesticated barley), 125 nucleotides long. The record is from Rfam. NCBI's taxonomy places the organism in Eukaryota, Viridiplantae, Streptophyta, Magnoliopsida, Poales, Poaceae.
AAUAUACUCCCUCCAUCCGAAAUUACUUGUCGCAUAAAUAGAUAAAAAUGGAUGUAUCUAGAACUAGAAUACAUCUAAAUACAUCCAUUUCUAUGACAAGAAUUUCCGGACGGAGGGAGUAUUUU